CUGUCCGCCAGUGUAAUACUGGCGAAGAAAGGGCCGGGCAAGACCGGUGCCAGCCGCCGCGGUAAUACCGGCGGCUCGAGUGGUGGCCACUAUUACUGGGCUUAAAGCGUUCGUAGCUGGCUUGUUAGGUCUCUGGGGAAAUCUUCCGGCUUAACCGGAAGGCGUCUCAGGGAUACUGGCAGGCUAGGGACCGGAAGAGGUGAGAGGUACUCCAGGGGUAGGAGUGAAAUCCUGUAAUCCUUGGGGGACCACCUGUGGCGAAGGCGUCUCACCAGGACGGCUCCGACAGUGAGGAACGAAAGCUGGGGGAGCAAACCGGAUUAGAUACCCGGGUAGUCCCAGCUGUAAACGAUGCGCGUUAGGUGUAUCGGUG
This 373-nucleotide ribosomal RNA is filed under the name uncultured Methanomicrobiales archaeon. Its description in RNAcentral is "bacterial SSU rRNA". It matches the Rfam family "Archaeal small subunit ribosomal RNA", at positions 407 to 781 of the family's 1478-position model. The record is from RNAcentral. Lineage: Archaea; Methanobacteriati; Methanobacteriota; Methanomicrobia; Methanomicrobiales.